AUUGAACGCUGGCGGCAGGCCUAACACAUGCAAGUCGAGCGGAUGAAGGGAGCUUGCUCCUGGAUUCAGCGGCGGACGGGUGAGUAAUGCCUAGGAAUCUGCCUGGCUGUGGGGGAUAACGUCCGGAAACGGGCGCUAAUACCGCAUACGUCCUGAGGGAGAAAGUGGGGGAUCUUCGGACCUCUCGCUAUCAGAUGAGCCUAGGUCGGAGUAGCUAGUUGGUGGGGUAAAGGCCUACCAAGGCGACGAUCCGUAACUGGUCUGAGAGGAUGAUCAGUCACACUGGAACUGAGACACGGUCCAGACUCCUACGGGAGGCAGCAGUGGGGAAUAUUGGACAAUGGGCGAAAGCCUGAUCCAGCCAUGCCGCGUGUGUGAAGAAGGUCUUCGGAUUGUAAAGCACUUUAAGUUGGGAGGAAGGGCAGUAAGUUAAUACCUUGCUGUUUUGACGUUACCAACAGAAUAAGCACCGGCUAACUUCGUG
RNAcentral lists this ribosomal RNA (484 nucleotides) under uncultured bacterium. RNAcentral describes it as "partial 16S ribosomal RNA". It matches the Rfam family "Bacterial small subunit ribosomal RNA", at positions 30 to 507 of the family's 1533-position model. The record is from RNAcentral.